CCGGGAUUGUAGUUCCCUUGGUUUCUCCUGCAUACCCUCCUGUCUCUGGCUUCGCGCGCCUCUCCUGGGCUGCCGUCUCCCAGCCAAUCGGCUGCGCUCUCUGCUACGUGUGGCGUCACACGUAGCGGCCAAGAUGGCGCUAGCGGUUGGAGCAGGGGCUCUGCUGCGACCUUUACGGUAGUGAGGUUAGGGACGAUGGGAGAGCAGCUUUGUUCCUGAAGUGCCGUCGAGGAUUAGGAUCGAGUUUCUUCGAUCGUGAGGGCAAUUAUUAGUGGCCUCUAGCCCCCCAGAUGGCAUCUUGAGGAGAGAGAAUCCACGCUACGAGAACUAACAUAGUGGACAUCGCAGUUGUCCGUAGCCGAUUUGCGGGUUACGGAGUUGUUGCAAGUAAAGAAGGGGAAAUCCGAGCGUUCUCGCGUUGGAUUUCCUCCACGUGUGAAGUGGGAAUGGUAGUGAUAUCUCGUGCUAUCUCUGUCAAGGGCAAGAAGGAGAAGGAAUUUAUUUGAGGCCCUACGACGUGGUAGGUUCACCCUCAGCCUUUGUUCUUAUUUCAUCUUAUUUGUGGAGAAGGUCUUUUCGUUCCUAUUUUACAGGUGAGAAAAGGGGCCCAAUAUAUAGUUAUUUGCGGCCAUAAAAUAGAAGCCAGUUGCCUGAUACUGAAGAUUCAAUGAAAUCUUGUGAUUGACUUCCCUCUUUAAAUUUUGUACUUUGGGUAACAUCGGAUCCGGUAGAAACGCUCGUCAGAAAGAGUUUUUAAUGUGCAUUCUACAAUUUCCAGACAUAGUUUCCUUCUUGAAAAAUUGGGUUAAUACUACCCUAUAGGGAUCUUGUGAUGCACCACGUAAACGUUGUAAGUUGUGAACCACUAUACAAACGUAUGAGACUCUUCAUGUUCUUGAGUGGAACUGUAGGUUAGGAAGAGAAGGUAAAUAACAGCAUUUAAGUUUCCUACUACUAUUUGCCCAUUAGCUAAAAAUACCCUCCGAGGUCUAGGAAAGUCACUGUUGUUGAAACCCAACCUACACCUUCAGAAAAUCGUAAAGUGGAACAUAUUAAUCACCAGGCCCUCCCUCCGCUGUCUCCCUGACCUUCCUAUGCAUCCAGUUGCUUAAGAACUCUUGGAAAGAUAGUAAGUGAAAUCUUCAUAGAGGAUUUUUGUACUUUAACAUAUAUUAUUUGAUUUGAGCCUCGCAACAUUUCAGUGUGACAGGUACGAUUAAGGUCUUUCAUACUAUGAAUGAGAAAAACAUAGAUGUACCAAGGACUCACCAAAUUUCACGGAGCUAGGAAUUGGAAGAGAGCUAGGCUUUGUAAUCCCAGGUCUUCUGACCUCCAAAUGUCCUUUCCUCUACAGUGAAUGUCAAAAUGACAAUGAAUGUCUACUCCUCUACAAUGGAGUACAAAUCGAAAGACAAGGGGCUUAUAAAACUGACUCUGACCUUAAGAAGUAGCAUAUGAGUGAUGAAUUAUUAUAGUCAAUCCUUGUGCUUACUAAGUGCCACAUACUGGUCUAAGCAUUUUACAUAGUAAUUCAGUCCUUAGAACAACUUUAUGAGGUGGAAACUUUUAUUAUCUCUAAUUACAAAGGAGGCAACUAAAGUCUAGGAAAGAAGCAAAAUAGCUUGCCUAAAGUCACACAUAAGUAAAUGGUGGCUCACGCCUGUAAACCCAGCACUUUGGGAGGCUGAGGCAAGUGGAUCAUUUGAGGUCAGGAGUUCAAGACCAGCCUGGCCAACAUGGUGAAAGCCCACCUCUACUAAAAAUACAAAAAUUAGCUGGGCAUGGUGGCAUGUGCCUGUAAUCCCAGCUACUCGGGAGGCUGAGACAGGAGAAUUGCUUGAACCAGGGAGGUGGAGGUUGCAGUGAGCCAAGAUCGCUCUACUGCAUUCCAGCGUGGGCAACAGAGCAAGACUCCAUCUUAAAAAAAAAAAAAAAAAAAAAAGCUAAAGCUGGGAUUUAAACCUGAUUAUGUUGGCUCCAGAGCCUAUGCUCUAGACCAGUGGUUCUAAACUUUAAUGGUCAAUAGGAACCGCUUGAGGAUCUUGUUAAAACGCAAAUAUUGGUAGUAUAGAUAUCAGGUAAGGCCUGGAUCCUAUAGUCUUAACAGGCCCCCAGGUGAUGUUGAUGGUGCUGGUCAUUACAUACUACAGUUCACAUCUUCCCUUUUCUCCUAACCGUAUUUAUUUUGCAGUCAGAAACUACCUUUCCCAUGCUGCCUGUGACUGCUUUAUAGUCUCAAAUGUUCCCAACAUGCUCUUCCUUAAGGAUUAGACUCAAACUUUUUCCUCAAAAAGCUUAUCCUGCCCCUGUCUUUCCCUCUAGGAUAAGACAGACAUCCCUGCCUCUGCUCCCCUACCACUCAGUGUACACCUUGUUACAGAGCUCAGAACACUGAAUUAUGGCCAUUUAUUUGAAAAUCUUCCUGGCCGGGCAUGGUGGCUCAUGCCUGUAUUCCCAGUACUUUGGGAGGCCGAGGUGGGCUGAUCACUUGAGGUCAGGAGUUCAAGACCAGCUUGGCCAACAUGGUGAAAUCCCGUCUAUACUAAAGAUAGAAAAAUUAGCCGGUCAUGGUGUUGUGCAUCUGUAGUCCUAGGUACUCUACUCGAGAGGCUGAGGCAGGAGAAUCUCUUGAACCCAGGAGGUGGAGGUUGCAGUGAGCUGAGAUUGCGCAACUGCACUUCAGCCUGGGCGACAGAGCAAGACUCUGUCUCAAAAAAAAAGAAAAGAAAAUCUUCCUGACUGGACAACGAGCUCUUUGAGGAGAGGAACCAAUCAGGUCUGUGUACUGUAGAGCCUAGCAUAUAAUAAGAAUAAUAGCUAAUACUUACAUAGGACUUUCUGUAUUCCAGAUCACGUUAUACACAUUAACUUGUUUAAUCUCUACUAUAACCUUACAGAUACACUUUUAUCCCCAUUUUAUGAAUGAAGAAACUAAGGCAUAGAGAGGUUAAAUAGCUGGCCCAAGGUAACAAGCUUGUAAGUAACAGAGCCAUGAUUUUAAAUAAAAGCACUUUGGCUCCAGGAAAUGUGUGGUGAAUUAAAUGAGAGCCACUCUACACUCAACCAAAGAAGGAAAACUGAGACUUACUAUCCUAUUAGACAUGAUUAUAACUACCUCUAGUCUGGGAAAAUACACAGAAAUCUGUUCCCCUGGCCAGGUGCGGUGGCUCACGCCUGUAAUCCCAACACUUUGGGAGGCCGAGGCAGGCGGAUCAUCUGAGAUCGAGAGUUCGAGACCAGCUUGACCAACAUGGAGAAACCCCGUCUCUACUAAAAGUACAAAAUUAGCCAGGCAUGGUGGCACAUGCCCGUAAUCCCAGCUACUCGGGAGGCUGAGGCAGGAGAGUAGCUUGAGCCCAGGAGGCGGAGGUUGUGGUGAGCCGAGAUCGCGCCAUUGCACAGCCUGGGCAACGAGCGAAACUCCAUCUCAAAAAAAUAAAUAAAAAUUUUUUUAAAAA
Molecule: long non-coding RNA, 3458 nt
Filed under: Homo sapiens (human)
Lineage: Eukaryota; Metazoa; Chordata; Mammalia; Primates; Hominidae
Description: non-protein coding lnc-THAP12-1:3
Source: RNAcentral